This 639-nucleotide long non-coding RNA is filed under the name Lupinus angustifolius (narrow-leaved blue lupine). RNAcentral describes it as "long non-coding RNA (LANG_LNC002198)". The record is from RNAcentral. Lineage: Eukaryota; Viridiplantae; Streptophyta; Magnoliopsida; Fabales; Fabaceae.
GUAAGCAGUUCUCUCCAUACCUUGUAUCCAAUCUUAUAUAUCAAAUUUAUGCAAAUAGUAGCUGCUAAGCACAUCUGCCCGAAAUGUGUGAACAAAAGAUGAAUCGCACAAAACAAUUUACAAUUCUAUUGCUUCUGGAUUAACCUAGCUUUGUUUCAAGAUGUCAAUCAAAGAUCAUUGUAAAAGAAACCCUUAGAAAUUAGAAUAAUAGGCUUUCUCAAAGAGAGUGGUAGACAAAGUAGGAGGAAAACUUUAUGCUUUAGUUGUUAGAAUUUCUGACAAUUUAUGGGUCACAAAUAUAAUUCUAUAAUUGUGUUAUGACCAUUAUGUAAUUAGUCAAAAUAUAAAAUGAUCUUUAGUAAUUAAUUUGGUGGCUAAUGGCAUAUGUGUCAUGAAAUAAUAAUAAGUGUAGAUACCUUCAGGCAAUUUCUGAUUUGAUGAAGGGACUGAAUCAGAAUUAUUGCAACUAAAGUAGUAACCACUACGGGGUUACUUUUAUGGGUUAUGGUCCCCAUUUGUAGAGCAACAGGUUUUCAAGUGUAAAGGUGGAGGAGAAUAAGGAAGGAUGAGAAUAGUGUUAUCCAUGAUGAGAUAACACUAUCCACUCAUCCAUAAGGCACAUAAGGCAUGAGGAUAAGG